This 666-nucleotide long non-coding RNA is filed under the name Gallus gallus (chicken). The record is from RNAcentral. Lineage: Eukaryota; Metazoa; Chordata; Aves; Galliformes; Phasianidae.
CCCCGGGGGCCUGGCUCCUUCCUGAGUCCCCCCCGAGGUCUGGCUUCCCGAGGGGACCCCCUGGCUCCCGGGGGGUGGUAUUUGGGUUGAAGGGGGGGGUCCAGACCCUACCGUGCCCCCCCCAGGGGGGGGUCUCGCCGGGUGCUGGUUUGCCGACGCUUUGGGGCUGCCCCUCGCCAGCCUCCGGCAGUACCCACCCGGACCCCCCCGGGGCUUUGAGGGGCCCCCCCCGGGGUCUGAACCCAGUGGGGAAAGGGGGGGCUGCGAGGGGUUAAGGGGGGAUCCGGGGGGAGGGGGCAGGACCCCGAGAGCUGGAUGAGGCCGGGGCAGGGCAGGCCACAAGAGGUGGAGGAGGAGCAGCCCCCACCCCUCUGCUGCAGCGCAGACCCUGACCCCGAACCUGCCCCAUCGCUGCCCCCCUGGAAGCAGAGCAGCCCCCAACACAGAACGCUGAGGACGAGGCCGUGGCCCGCGAGCUGGAGCAGCUUUACCUCUCCCACCUCCGCCGCCUCCGGGGGGGGCCAGGGGACAACACAGCCCCCCCCCCAACCUGCAGGGCCCCCCCUUACCCGAGCGAGGCCCCAACACCUCUCUCGCAGCCGAAAUGGCGCUCCAUCACGAGGGGCGGGGGGGGGAGGACGUCGAAGCCCCCCGGAGUUACGAGGG